GUCGGGAGCGCGCCGCACGUCUCCGCUCACUGUUAGUCUUUGCCCAGAAGUGGGUUAGGUCCGAGCAAGUCUACCAGUGGUUGGGGGGUGGGCACCCAGAAAUCGGCGAGGGGCUUGCUAUUUACUACGUGUUACCGCCUUGGGAAGCAUCGGAGGGCGGCUCUACCGUCCACAGACUCGCAGUAAGUUUUAAGUUAUGAGGUUUUUGGUGUCCAAGGCAGGGGAUCGAAUAGUAUUAAAUAGAAUGUAGACCAGUAACUAGUAUGGUCAGCCUGUCUCUAGAACUGGGAGCGUUCUAUCAUUGGAACACUGCGCACAGAGCAAACUUUACCGGAAUAAAAGGUGAUUUGUGGUCCCUGAUUUUGGUCACCAUACUUGUCAGCUCUUCUUAUCUACCCAGAAGAUAAUUGUUAUUUUUAUUUUAUGUACAAAAGUUUUUGCCAUUUUAUUGGGCAUGUAUAAUAUUGCCUACACACCACUGUGGGAUCCAAUGUUACUUAAGAACUUCCAUUUAAUAUUAUGCGCUAUUAAGAUAUAGACUGCAAUCCCCUUCCUGUUGCUAGCAGUGAUGGCUGACCAUGAUAGUCCAGAUGUUUUUGAGCCACAUAUCCCACGUUGUUCUUUGUAGAAAUGUUGCGUUUCCUGUAUGCCCAGCCCAGCCUUUACUGACGCAUUUAAUUGUGCAAUAGCGUUAUCUGAGCCUGCAACUCUUUUAUUUUAACUGAUCAUUGGGCCUCUUCUAAUAUAUAUUUACACAACCCUGGAAAGGCCCGGAGUUUAAAACACUAGGUGCCAAGAUAUCUGGGGAAGAUAAUGGCACAGUUUGUCAUUUCUAGGUCACUAAUGAAUUAGGAAGUGCAUGAUACAAUCAGGGUUACUAACCUCUGAAUUAUAAUAAACUAAAACGGAAUGGUAACAUUCAGGCUAAAAUAGUCCAGCAGUUGGAGGAUUACUUCAAAUCAGCGUCUGUCAGAAUUUUAGAAUUCGGGUUUCAGUUCACUACAGUUUUUGAUUAUCGUGAAUAAGCCCCUCGAGCCCACAUUUUAGUAAAUUUAAAUCAAAAUGCAAACUUCAUAUUAAUGAAGUGGCCUGGGUGCAGUUUCCCUAGCAUUUUAGCCCUGUAAUGUACAAUAUUGCUGUUUUGUAGACAAGGCAAUGCUUUCAUUGCAAGGCUAAAAACACCUCUAGUGGCAGCUUCCCCUGCUCUAUCAGAGUCACUCUGCUCUUCAAUCAGUGCUUCUCAUAGAGUGGAUUUGAUUGAAAGGAUGCAGUAUUUGCUUCGAAUCCACAAUGCUUCUAUGAGAAGCAUUGAGUAAGAGGAGGGGUCAGUGUUGUGAUGUCGGUAACAAAUCGAGCAGCAGCAGAGACUGUUUCACUGUGCUGUGGAAAAAAGUGAGUAAAAGUCUUUUAUAUAUUUUUCUUGCUCUGCAUUUAUAAACCGUGAGAAUAACAUACUUGUAUUCCAAAUACUGUAGUGUUCCUUUAAAUUGCUACACUUCAAACUUGAAUAAAUAAACCCCAUGGAGAAAAAUGUAAAACCUUUUAUUUGACACACAGAAACAAACAGAUCCUGAACUACUGAGACAUCUUAUCAGUCCUACAGUAACCCUGAUGGGCUUCCCAGGCACACUUAAACACACCUAUAAUCCUUAAUAUCAGAGGCUCUGCUCUCCUGUGUAGUGUGAUUGCUACUACAGCAACUAAAGAAUCCUGGUGCACCAGUGCUUGUCAAAAUCACCCAUCCAUAGCUCCUGUUCUCUUUCUUUGAUGUCCAGCAGGGAGAGAGAUCAGAGUUACAGUACGUUCUACUCACAUACAGCAGGUGUGACAGUAGAUGUAUAGAAAAGGUUAAAUACCCUGCUGUAGUUGUUUAUAAGGACCCUGGUGGCAUUACUACCAGUACAGCUUGUAGUAGUUUUGGUGCUCCGUGUCCUUUUAAUGAGGAAACUAAAAGGUUUGAUUAAACAAACACAUAACAAAACUGAAUCUGUGUGCCACUCAUGCCAUCCUCUCAGCCCGCUCUCCCUUACAUCAGGAGGGAGUGACAUCAGCGGAAGAGGACUGGGCUAAGGGUGAUCGUAAAGAGACACUAUCGCCACCAAAACAAGUUUACCGUAAUGAAGUAGUUUUGGUGUAUAGAUCAUGCCCCUGCAGUCUCACUGCUCAAUUCUCUGCCAUUUAGGAGUUAAAUCACUUUGUUUAUGCAGCCCUAGUCACGCCUCCCUGCAUGCGACUUACAUACCCUUCCUAAAUACUUGCCUUAAAGGACCACUCUAGGCACCCAGACCACUUCAGCUUAAUGAAGUGGUCUGGGUGCCAGGUCCUUCUAGGGUUAACCCAUUUUUUCAUAAUUAUAGCAGUUUCAGAGAAACUGCUAUAAUUAUGAAUGGGUUAAGCCUUCCCCUAAUCUCUAGUGGCUGUCUCAUUGACAGCCGCUAGAGGCGCUAUGCGUGCUUCUCACUGUGAAAAUCACAGUGAGAGCACGCUAGCGUCCAUAGGAAAGCAUUGUAAAUGCUUUCUAUGAGAGGCUGAAUGCGCACAGCUCUUGCCGCUGCGUGCGCAUUCAGCCGGGCGGGGCGAACGGAGGCGGAGAGGAGGAGGAGAGCUCUCCGCCCAGCGCUGGAAAAAGGUAAGUUAUUACCCCUUUCCCCCUUCCAGAGCCGGGUGGGAGGGGGUCCCUGAGGGUGGGGGCACCCUCAGGGCACUAUAGUGCCAGGAAAACGAGUAUGUUUUCCUGGCACUAUAGUGGUCCUUUAAGGUCAUCUAAUGAAAACUUGCUAGACACUGCAGGAGCCUACUGUGUGUGAUUUAAGUUAAAUUUACAGCACAGGAGAUAAAAACUUUAAAAGCAGGUUAACAUAUGAUUUGAAAUUAAACCAUUUUGUUUUAGUCACAGCCAGGUGGGGUGUGGCUAGGGCUGCAUAAACAGAAACAAAAGUAAUUUAACUUCUAAAUGGCAGUGAAUUGAGCAGUAAGACUGCACUGCUUCAGGCACCCAGACCACUUCUGCCCAUUGGAGUGGUCUGGGUACCAACUCCCAUCACCCUUAAGGAAUAAUUACCUUGCAGGGUUAAGUCCUCCUCCUAGUUGCUGUCUAUCAGACAGCCACUAGAGGGACUUCUGGGUUCUUAAAACCCAAAAAGUGCUUUAAACGGCGCUGGACGUCCUCGCGCUAUACACGAGGACCUCCAGCGUCGCCAGAAUCCCCAUAGGAAAGCAUUGAAUAAUGCUUUCCUAUGGGGAGGUCUAAUGGGCGCACGCGGCAGGUCUCCCCCACCGUCUGACGUCGGCAUGGGCGGAGCCUGACCCAGCGCCGAGGGACAUCAGCGCUGGAUUCAGGUAAGUGAAUCUUCACCUUCAGCAACAUGGGAUGGGGGGUGGGAGAAAGAUGGCCAUGUGUGACUACAGCUGUACUGCGGAAUAAAAAGCUUUGCUUUCUCAUUAUGCUAUCCAUAUAUUUGUACAGCACAAACAUUCAGUAAUCUACAUUAGCAGAAACUUUGCCAUGUGCUUUCACCCACACAGCCCUACACCUUGCACCGCUCAGCGUGUUUACUCUUGAUCGAAUAGAUGCAGGAUAUUUGCUCAGAAUGCCCGAAUGAUCCCAUAUUGUGAGAGGAGAGCAGGGGAUAGUGCAGUAUGUGCACUCAAUGCUCAUUUUCUGGUAGUGUGAUGAUUUUUUGUUUGUUUAAAUUUGAGUGGCAUGAGCACUCAUUGUGUGCUCACUCUAUACACAUAUUUGGAUGUCCAAGUAAGAAUGCAAAACUUCCUCACCUCAGAAAAAUGAAAAUAAAAUUAAAAAAAACUUGUCCUUUCCCUACCUAUAAAAACUAACCCCUUUUCUCUUUAUAACACCAUGACCAAAGGGUAUAUUAUCUUUUUUAGAGAUCCAAUCGUUCCCUCAUUCAUAGUUUAAAAUGGAGUCCUGAAUUUAAAGAGUUACUCUAAACCAUGUGCACAGUUUUCCUUUGUAGACUAACAAUGCCCUAUUGGGCAUAGCUGUUAGGUUCUCCGCCAUAGGGAAAAAAAAGUUAUCACUUACCUUGAAUUGAUUGCUGAUCUCCUUCCUCGUCUGACGUCACAGGGGGCUUUGCACGGCCCAAUCACAGGCUUCUCAUAGAGGGGAGGAAAGGUGGGAUUUUAAUUUAUUUUUAAUAAAAAAAAAAAAAAAUCAAAUGGGAGCAAUGGAGGGAGGCAGCGCCCACGGAGUUGGAUGGGAUAGGUAGCUUCCCCUUACAAGUUUUCUGCCUGCUAGGGAAAAAUUGUUAAAUCUGUUGUCAGCAUGCUGUCAGAUGUAAAAUAUGCACAGAAUUGACAUUAGGUAGUCCGGAACAUAGUUGGACAAAGCUCCUGAAUGGUCAAAAAAAUAGCAGAGUCCACUUUAGUGGAAUAAAUCGACUACUUUGUGAAAUCUGGGGCUGCAGUUCCUUUUUUUUUUUUUUUACAAUGGGCCCUGAGUGGGAUCCUAAACCGCCCCAGCUCUGAUUUUGGCACCGUUUUAUUGUUAGCAAGUACCUUGUAAUCCUGUAAGAGAAAUAACCCCUCCAAUUAUAUCAUUUGUGACAGUGCCACUUUAAUGCUCCAUAUGUGCGGUUAUUGUUGUGGGUGCAGGAUUUCGUUGUGGUUAGCACAGUAUGUAUCUAAUAUAGGUUCAUGCAAUACCCUAAAAUCAAUGAUUUGGUGUACUAUGCAAUUUAUAGGAUAGAGAUUGUAUAGGACUAGCCACACACAUUAUCUGCUGUUUGUGCAAUAUCACCUCUUUCACGUACCUUGUUAGUGCAUCAUAUUUAAAGGAACACUAUAGUCACCAGAACAACUACAAUUUAAUGUAGUUGUUCUGGUGAGUAUACUCAUUCCCUGCAGGCAUUUUCAUAUAAACACUGCCUUUUCAGAGAAAAGGCUCUGUUUACAUUGGCCCCUAGGGCCGAUUCCAGUGGUCACUACUUUAGAUGGCUACUAGAGGAGCUUCCUGGGGCUGUGCUGCAGGCUUUAUUACUUUUUUUUAAGGGGCCUAAAUUAUGGUUUUAGCACUAUAAGGUCAGGAAUACAUCCAGAUUCCUAGGUCAUUAUUUGUUUUUACAAUUUAAAAUUUCUGUUCUACUUGAAGGAUAUCCUUUCAUGGUUCUUGUGCAUUCUUCUAUGUUGUUUCCUGCUGUUGAUCUUUGUAGUAUAUCAUGUAGGGAUCGACCGAUUGUUUUUUUGGUUUUUUUAAAGAGCCGAUAAUCUGUCAACUUUCAGACCGAUAGCUGAUAACUUGCCGAUAUUCUGUACAUUUACCAUUUUGAAAAAAUAAACUUUCUAAAGGUAAAUGCACAAAAUAUAUAUGCCACAUUUAGUGGAUGCAGUGUGUUUAGACAGGGAGCUGUGUGUGUGUAGUGUGUAUAGUGGAUGCAGUGUGUUUGUGUAGGGAUGUAAUGUGUGUAAAAUGUGGGUGGGGCAUUUUUUUAUUUUUAUUUUCUUUUUAAUAUUUAAAUGUUUUAUUUAUUUUUUAGUCCCCCCCCUCCCUGCUUCUUACCAGGGACGGGGGAUAUAGUAUUCCCUGGUGGACUGGUGUCAUGGAAAGUACAGAGGGGGCCCGCCGCAAGCUCUUACUUACCUUUCCAGCAGCUCCCCUGUGUAACUCUUGUGUCCUGUGUGCCGCGCGGAGUAUUGCCAUGGUAACCCGUGGCAACUCUCUGACGGCCGCGGGACUCGCAAGAUUUACACAGGGGAGCUGAAGGGAGCUGCUGGAAAGGUAAGUAAGCGCUUGCUGCUGGCCCCCCCAGGACUGCCGGGCUGGAACACAUGGAAAUUUGACAAGUUGAUAUUCUGGGGAUAUAUAAUUUUGAGGGAGUAUAGCUAACUGCAUUACUCCAUCCUGGCAUACCAUUUGCAAAAGUAAACAGGUAACCCAGGGUAUUCCAAAAUGGCGGUGUACAGCCUUUUUUUAGUAGACCCUUAGUCACAAUAUAGUCACAAUACCUGUCCACACCUUGUGGGUUUUUUUUUCUUCUUCUCAUGAACUCUGCAACUUCACUGUGUUAAUCAUCCUUGUAUGUUUUACUGCUAUAAAACAUGCAUGUUUUUGGUUCAGUGAUUUCUGGUAAAUAUAGCAAUAACUCCAAUGUACAGGUUUUAUGGGGUUUUGGAAGUGACAAUUCUGAAUAGGGAUCGACCGAUUAUCGGUUUUACCGAUAUUAUCGUCCAAUAUUCGGUAUUUUUGGCAAUAUCGGUAUCGGCCAAUAUAGAUACCGAUAUUGCCGAUAAUACCUCCCCUGGGGGGGCCUGCAGGAAGCUUUCUUACCUUUCUUGCAGCUCCCCAGUGCAAAUAUCACGAGUCCCGCGGCCGCAGAGCGUUGCCAUGCAAGAUUUACACUGGGGAGCGGGAGAAGCUGCAAGAAAGGUAAGAAACAGCUUCCUGCCGCUCCCCCCAGUACUUAACAAACCACCGGACCACCAGGGAAUACUAUAUCCCCCCUCCCUGGUAAGAAGCAGGGACGUGGGGACUAAACAAAAAAUUUUUUUUUUAAAUAUUAAAAAACAAAAUUUAAAUAAAAAAAUUCACCCCCCCCCAUUCUACACUAAUUGCAUCAUUACAUACACACACACACACACACACACACACACUAUAUAACUAUAUAUAUAUAUAUAUAUAUAUACACACUACACAAACACACACUAUACACACACUCUGCAUUUACUUUACCCACACUACACACACACACACACUCUGCAUUCACUAUAUACAAAUACACACACUGCAUUCAUUAUAUACACACAGCUCCCCUGUCUAAACACACUUCAUCCACUACAUGUGGUAUGUAUAUUUUGUGCAUGUACCUUUAGAAUUAGUUUAUUUUUUCAAAAUGGUAAAUGUACAGAAUAUCGGCAAGUUAACGGCUAUCAGCCUGAAAGUUCACAGAUUAUCGGUAUCGGCUCUAGAAAAUCAAUAUUGGUCGAUCCCUAAUUCUGAACAUGGGGAUUCCUCAUUCCAAUUCUUUAACAUUGAAUUUUGCCAGAUUGGUUUACUGGCCCUCUGUUGCAGCCCAGGAAAGAAAACUACCACUUGGGUACUUCAAAAGUAGACAACCCACAUUAUAGUAAAAGGGGUGAGUUCAGUCUAUUUUUAGAAGCCACUUCGUUACAAAACCUUGGCCAAUUUAGUAUUUUGUGUGUGUUUUUCACUUUCUGAAUGUAUCAUGUUUAUUGAAGUCAGGCAAAUAAUUUCCAUGCAGGGAUUUAGCGUGUCCAGAUAUGCAAUACAUGUUGCACUUGAAUUGUUGUGCAAAGUGUUGCAUCAUAACCAACACGGAAAUGGUUACAGUGGUAACAACAGAACAUACUUAAGCUCUUCACAACUCCAUUCUUGCAUUUACAAUGACACAUCAUGACACUGUGUUGCAUGAAGCAGAAGGAAAGACAAAGCAAUUGAAAAUAAUCAACACGGAAAUGGUUACAGUGGUAAUAAUGAAAUCAAUUUAUAUGAGGAACAUAACAUAAAUGAGUUGAGAUGAUAACUUGGAUUGCAUCAGUCAGUGAAGUAGUGAGGAUUAAUUAGCAUGAUUUAGCUGCUAUCCCCCAGCAAGGCACAGUAAUAUAGUACUUCCAAAUGAGUAUUUUGAUCUGUUUGAUGCAGUCAACUUAUAAUGGCAGAUCUUACCCUAAACAAGGACAGGCCAAAGUCAGGGGUUCCAGAAAUCAGAGUAGUCCGUGUAACAUACCCAUAGGUCGGUAAAAGCACUUUACCAAGAGUAAUCAGGACAAGUCGGGGUCAAGAAACUGGAAUCCUAUACAGAGUCUUUGGACUUAAAGGGACACUCCGGAUCCCUAACGUCUUUUGCUUACUGAAAUCCUUGACGUGUGAAAAGUGAAGGAAAAAAGUUCAAAUUUCAAUAGAAAUCGGCACUUUUUUUUUUUUUAUAUAUAUAAAUUAAAGGGACACUAUAGUCACCCAGACCACUUCAGCUCAAUGAAGUGGUCUGGGUACCAGGUCCCUCAGGUUUUAACCCUACAGAUGCAAACAUAGCAAUUUCAGAGAAACUGCUAUGUUUACAUUUGGGGUUAAGCCAGCCUCUAGUGGCUGUCUUCCGGACAGCCACUAGAGGCGCAUCUGCGAUGCUUGAGGCAUAUUAUGCCUCCAUCGCGCAGAGCGUCCAUAGGAAAGCAUUUGCCACACAUGCGCAUUUGGCUCCGCUAGCGCCGGCGGGGGAGGAGAGGUCAUCAUUAAGCUUGUGCUGCUAUUUUUCGUUUGUGUGAUAAUAAACUGCAAUACCGGCGCUGGCCAGUAGGUGAAUGGAGAAAGGCAGGGUUAGGAAGCUACAGCUUAUCCCUGAUUCUUUCUCCUGACUGCAUCUGCAGGGGAGCAGCACAGAGUGCAGCCAGCAAGCAUGGGAAGGGGGGGUAGGGGCAACCUAUAGACCAGGUAAGUGAGGGAUGGGGGGGCAGUCUACAGAUCAGGUAAGUGAGGGAUGGGGGGGAGACAGCCUACAGGAAGGUAAAGUAGGAGGAGCAGAGAGGUUCUGCAAGGGGCAGAGCGGAAGGGGUAGCAAGAACAGGAAGCGGUAGGAAAGGUUUGCAAGGAGCAGGAGGGUGAAGUAGAAGGGUCAGCAAGGAGCAGGAAGCGGUAAUAAAGGUUUGCAAGGGGCAGGAGGGGUCAGCAAGGAGCAGGAAGAGGCAGCAAGGCGCACAAAGGUAAAGUAGGAGAAGGAACAGAAAGGGGCAGCAAGAAGGAGGAAGAGUCUGCAAUGAGCAGAAAGGGAAAUCAAGGAGCAGAAAGGGUCAACAAUUACCUGGAAGGGGCAGAAGGAGCACAAAGGUAAAGUAGGAAAAGGAACAGAAAUUAGCAGGAAGGGCCUGCAAGGAGAAGGAAAGCUCUGGAAGGAGCAGAAAGGGAUCAGAAAGAGAAAGGAGCAGAAAGGUGCAAAAUAAGCAGAAAAGUAAAGGAGCAGAAGGAGCCAAGGAGGAGAGAAGACAGUGUCCGAAGAAAAAGACUGUGUCAAAUGGAGAAGAAAAUGAGAUUGGAGCAGGAAGGACAAGUGAAGUGGUGUCAUUCUGGACACCACAUCAUAAGGCUUUGGUACCUGGGCCUGGCAGGAAACAUUGGACCUUCUCAUCUCCCCAGGUAAAAAAAACAUAUCAGUGUUAAUGUGUUCACUUUUAUUUACUGAGUGUCAGGAAACACAGAGGGCCGCUAGGUAGAGGUGCCGCUGAUUGGCUACAACGGUCAGCUGGCAUUCUAAGCCAAUCAGUAGCUCCCCAUUCAUAAAAACGUAAAAAAAACUAUGAAUCGGGAACUAGCCAUUGGCUUAGAGCGUCAGCUGACCACUCUAGCCAAUCAGCGGCACCCAUGCCUGACGUCAAUCUGCACUUCCUGACACUCCGUUUCAGAAGCCGAAUACCACUGAGCGACCUGGAGAUCUGGAGGAAACCUUUUGGGUUUAAACCAUUUGAGAGCGGUUUAACCCAUUAAAGGAAAGCGAGCACCCAGGGGCCUCCUGGCAUCAUAGCAUUUUCAUUUAGAUGAAGUUGUUAUGGUGACCAGAAUGUUCCUUUAAUUUGCUUAAAGGAACACUAUAGUGUCAGGAAUACAAACAUGUAUUCCUGACACCAUAGUUGUGAAAACGCUAUUCACCCUGGCUUUAUGUGAUAAUGAAUAUGCUCCUCCCCUUCAUGACACUGUCAAAAAGGGGCCAAGCAUGGAUGUCAUUACAAUUAUGACCCCCUUCCCCCCAGAAAAAUUCCUGUGGACACCCAUGACCCUGGCCCAAUUCCCUUGUAAUGGGUCAAACAGUUUAGCUGACGUCAGAGUAGUGGGGCAAACAGUUAAGCAGUUGUUAGUCUUCUGAAAUGGUUAGGUGAAACUCUUCCAGCCAUUGGCUGAGAGCAUCAGCUUACUGCUGUCAGCCAGUGAAUAGCACACUGUGUGAAAAAAGGUCUAGUUCUGGACUAGCUGAUGACACCCCGUGGCCCUGCAAGAGGUGCCGUUACAACCCUUGUAGCCAAAGGAUUAAACUCUGUAUGUGCAGUGUGUUUCACAGUGAAGAGCUAAACAUACAGACUCCAGGCACCUUUAUAUCUCUGCAGUGAUCAUGGUGCGUGAGAGAUUUAAUGAACAUGGACAGUUUGUCAGGUGGAAGUUCACACUGAGAAUAUUAAUUUGCAGAGACCAGUGUUUCAAAAAUUUACCAAUGUAACUAUUGUGGGGGGGAGGGGGACUUAUUUUGAUUGUGGUUUCCUCUCUGACAAUUAACAUAUGUUUAUUUGUUGUAACAUUCUUGAGCGUUUUUCUUGAGAUUUUUCUAGUUUACUGGGUCUCAUUUAUUUAUUAAUUUGCUUUAGACCAUUUUUAGAAAUUGGGUUUAAACCAUGGACAACGUUCCUCCAUUUCUUUGUAACAACCAUUUUAAUAUCCACCUGUUUUAGAUAAGCUUUUUAUGCCAUCCCAAUUUUGAUGAAAAUAUAAAAACAAAUAAAAUGCAUUAUAUUACACUCUUAUAAACUUUAGGACCUCAUUGCAAGGUUUUGUCGGCAUUUUAUAGGCCAUUUCCUACUUUAAGUAAAGUAUAACUAUCACUUCUCUGACAGUGACAUGCAAUAGUAGUUUAAUUCCAGUAAAUCCUCUGUACUGGGGUGAAUAAUGCAGGCGUGUGUGUCUCUACAGGGAGUGCAGAAUUAUUAGGCAAAUGAGUAUUUUGACCACAUCAUCCUCUUUAUGCAUGUUGUCUUACUCCAAGCUGUAUAGGCUCGAAAGCCUACUACCAAUUAAGCAUAUUAGGUGAUGUGCAUCUCUGUAAUGAGAAGGGGUGUGGUCUAAUGACAUCAACACCCUAUAUCAGGUGUGCAUAAUUAUUAGGCAACUUCCUUUCCUUUGGCAAAAUGGGUCAAAAGAAGGACUUGACAGGCUCAGAAAAGUCAAAAAUAGUGAGAUAUCUUGCAGAGGGAUGCAGCACUCUUAAAAUUGCAAAGCUUCUGAAGCGUGAUCAUCGAACAAUCAAGCGUUUCAUUCAAAAUAGUCAACAGGGUCGCAAGAAGCGUGUGGAAAAACCAAGGCGCAAAAUAACUGCCCAUGAACUGAGAAAAGUCAAGCGUGCAGCUGCCACGAUGCCACUUGCCACCAGUUUGGCCAUAUUUCAGAGCUGCAACAUCACUGGAGUGCCCAAAAGCACAAGGUGUGCAAUACUCAGAGACAUGGCCAAGGUAAGAAAGGCUGAAAGACGACCACCACUGAACAAGACACACAAGCUGAAACGUCAAGACUGGGCCAAGAAAUAUCUCAAGACUGAUUUUUCUAAGGUUUUAUGGACUGAUGAAAUGAGAGUGAGUCUUGAUGGGCCAGAUGGAUGGGCCCGUGGCUGGAUUGGUAAAGGGCAGAGAGCUCCAGUCUGACUCAGACGCCAGCAAGGUGGAGGUGGAGUACUGGUUUGGGCUGGUAUCAUCAAAGAUGAGCUUGUGGGGCCUUUUCAGGUUGAGGAUGGAGUCAAGCUCAACUCCCAGUCCUACUGCCAGUUCCUGGAAGACACCUUCUUCAAGCAGUGGUACAGGAAGAAGUCUGCAUCCUUCAAGAAAAACAUGAUUUUCAUGCAGGACAAUGCUCCAUCACACGCGUCCAAGUACUCCACAGCGUGGCUGGCAAGAAAGGGUAUAAAAGAAGAAAAUCUAAUGACAUGGCCUCCUUGUUCACCUGAUCUGAACCCCAUUGAGAACCUGUGGUCCAUCAUCAAAUGUGAGAUUUACAAGGAGGGAAAACAGUACACCUCUCUGAACAGUGUCUGGGAGGCUGUGGUUGCUGCUGCACGCAAUGUUGAUGGUGAACAGAUCAAAACACUGACAGAAUCCAUGGAUGGCAGGCUUUUGAGUGUCCUUGCAAAGAAAGGUGGCUAUAUUGGUCACUGAUUUGUUUUUGUUUUGUUUUUGAAUGUCAGAAAUGUAUAUUUGUAAAUGUUGAGAUGUUAUAUUGGUUUCACUGGUAAUAAUAAAUAAUUGAAAUGGGUAUAUAUUUGUUUUUUGUUAAGUUGCCUAAUAAUUAUGCACAGUAAUAGUCACCUGCACACACAGAUAUCCCCCUAACAUAGCUAAAACUAAAAACAAACUAAAAACUACUUCCAAAAAUAUUCAGCUUUGAUAUUAAUGAGUUUUUUGGGUUCAUUGAGAACAUGGUUGUUGUUCAAUAAUAAAAUUAAUCCUCAAAAAUACAACUUGCCUAAUAAUUCUGCACUCCCUGUAUAUAUAAAUCAUGUGUAUAUGAAUAAUCAUAAAGCUGUAUUAAAAAAUGUGAUAUCUUCCACCCAUAGUUAACAAAACUUCACAUCUUGAAAUGUUAAUUUUUACUCUCAGGUGCCGUAAGUGUGACCAUGUAUUGCAAAUGUUCUGGUUUUUCCCAACUUGGGCAGGACAAUUAACUCCUAAUUAUUUAUUAUUGUAGUGCAUGAGUUGGCAGAUUUUGGACUCCUAAUUAUGAACAUGCAGCAAAAAAAUGAAAUUUCUAGUUUGAGUGAUAUGUUUGUAUGAAGUAUGUGCAAGUUUGAAUCUAUAAGCAUAUCUGGAUCCUCCAUAAAUCUUCUCACACAUGUGAAUUUAUCUGCCUGUUCCCAGUGGCAGGGUAUUGAGACUCUGCAUGUUUGCAUGCCCAUAAUUUUAGACUACAUAACAUAAGUUGCCACAUCUUUGUCUUACCUCUUCUUCCAGGUUGCCAUGAUGACUUAAAAAGGUCAACUGACACCCACAUUUCUUUCUAUGUUGCAGGGCCAUUUUAACAUCAGGUUUAACAGUUGUCUGUACUAUUAAAUUGGCGCUGUCAGUCAGGAGCUCCAUAAUACAAACUAGCUUAAACUCUUGGCAGUCCCUUUUCAGUCUACUUCCAAGUGUCUGACCUUAUCCAUGUAGCGACCUUUAAAGGCUAACUCCAACCACCAUGACCACUUCAGUGAUUUGAAAUGGUCAUGGUGGUAAGACUCUGUAUGUGCAGCGUUUCUGCUUGAAAUGUUGCACAUACAAAGAAAUCUGUACUUGUAUUCUGGAUGCGGUACAGGUGAAUUAGGCAUCCAUGAACUCUGUUCCAGACUAAUAUCAAUAAUGCGCAUAAAAUUUGUCUGUCAUUGGCGCACUGGAGUAACCCUUUAAAGCGCCACUUUUACUCCCCCUGCAUGCGCCAGAGUACAGCAGUGACAUUACCUCCUACUUCUGCGAGGAGGAAUACUGAGACAAAGUAGGGACAAUUUUGUCUCAGAAUUUUUUUUACGCCUGACACUUCUAGACAUUGGGCCGAGCUACCAUUGACGGCUGCAGAGAUAUUGGCUGUAUAUAUGGAGGAUCUUACGGGAUCCUCCUUAGACAACAAUGCUGCACUCUGGUGCAUGUGUGAAAAGACGAGGACUGGCCCGAAGAAAAAGGCGGUGCCCGUGAGAGACUGGUCCAGAUUAUAAAUCUCACCUUUCCCUGUCCAACCCCCACCGGACCACCAGCGGCAAUGUCACCAUCAGGGGUCUUUGCAAAUCAUGCAUAAUCUCCAGACAGUGGAAGUGCUACUUUAAGAUAUAACCAUGAGGAACAUGUAUGGGUGGUUUCAACAUCUGAGUAUUAGUCGUGGGUUUAUCCCCCGACUCCUAUGACUUUGGCAGUUGUGGAGUUAAAACAGUGCUUCCCGUGGCCACCCUCUUAGUUUGGUAGUUGUAGAGUUAAAAUUAUGCAUGCAGUGUGUUUGCCAUUUCAUUGGUUAAAAAAAAGUCCCAGUGUCUGGCACUUGCUGGGUUUUCCCUCAGUUUCAAUGGGUUAUAUAGGUGAGCCAGUUUAAAAAUAAAUAGAAAAAUUGCUUUUACAACAUUCACCUAUGUAUAUACAUGCUUUCACAAACCUAUAUUCAUCUUCAUACUUGCAUACACAUGCCUCGACAUAUUAAAGUGCCACUACAACCACACCCUGUGUAAACUUUCACACAUAUACACACAUUUUCUGAAUGUCUGUGUUUUAGUAGUAGUAUAUUUUGUGUCCAAUGAUCUCUCCUGGCUCCCUGAUACUGUGGAAAUUAGACAAGCAGUGUUAUUAUUGAGUUUUUCAUAAAGAUCACAUCAUUACAGUUAUUUAUGUUGUCUUUUUAUGCUCUGGAAUGCACAUAAAAGUGCAGGGGCUUACAGCAGUUUGAGAUCUAGGUCAAUUUCUAGAUUUCUGUGCUUAGUGUCAUCUUUCCAGUUCUUACAAAGUGGAAGCAGGUUUAACAAGGUUUGUAAGUUAUCUUUAGUUAUCUAUCCUUUAGUGCUUUAACAUUAUCAUAAUGAAGAACUUUAAGAGGUGUGUGUGUGUGUGUGUGUGUGUGUGUGUGUAUAUAUAUACAUACACACACACACACACACACAGAAGUGUUUGGGAAUUUUUUUUAUUUAUAAUGCAAAUGUAAUUAUCGUGGCUGCGCUUCAAUUAUAAUAUUCACUCGAUAAUUUGCACUUUAAAGGGGAACUUACUGCACAAACACUUGCAUAUAUACUUUGGAAGCACUUGAUAACUUAAAGAGAUUUUUUGCACUUGUGUUUUGGUUGUGUGGUUUUAUUUUAUUUAUUUUAUUUAUUUUUUUAAUUCUUUCUACCACCUCCUUUAAAAAUAAACUACCAGUUAAACAGACUGUUAAUCAAGCGCCAGCAGCCACCCCACCCCAUCUGAGAUCUUUUGUCCAGAUGUUCUACAAUCCAGUUCAAUGCGUCUCCUAAAAAAAAAAAAAUGAUUUUGGGGCCCUGUUGCUCAGCCAGUUGAUGUUUCUUAUAGAGAAACAUUGAAUCCACAUGCCUCCCCCCCCAAUCCCAAUUUCGUCAGGACCGUCCUGUUUUUUGGAUCUUGUCCAGAUUUUGUUCCCUGGUGUUCUGCUUUUGGAGACACCAGUGGAACUGUCCCCCAACAGUGUAGUGUGUGCACAUUAGUAGAUGAACUCAUGCUGCAUUCACUGUACGGUCCACCCUCUGUGGGCUGGCUUGCUUGAUAAAAGCUCCUCUUUUUUUUUUUUUUUUUUUUGAGCUGAAAUUGUGUGAUUGUGUGUUUUGUACUUUGUUUAAAAACAAAAAACUGCCCUUUACUUCAUUCCCUUGCCAAAUCUUCUUUGCUAUAAUUUAUCAUGCACAUUCACUUAACACAUAGGAAUGUUUGAGCUGGAGUGACAGAAUUUGUGUUACACCGCUCUAAUUUUUAACUAGAACUUACACACCAAAAAAGCUUAAUUGGGAGGGCGGGGCCUGACCCUUACGGUGACUGGACGUUUGUCGGAUGAGCUUCUAGAAUGUUCCUUAUUUUAAGCUGUUUAAACUCCCAGCACACCAGUCUGCACUAUUCUAAGACUUACCUGUCUCUGGGGCCAGCCGGGGUGCUCGCUAUCAGUUUUACGAAUCACCUACUCUGCAAAUCCCGGUGGCUCCUGCGCUGCCUGUAAACAUCGGGCCAGUAAAGCAGCCAAUCAUCCGUCCUGCACAUCCCUGAGCCAGCACGGAGAAACCUUGCACCCUGUCCCCCCCCGCCCUCUGGACUGGAGGGGGUUAACACAGUCCCCACUGGCUCCCAGCAUUUACCUCUGCUGCUGUACCUAUGUGAAAUCUGACUGUAUUUCGUCCAUACAAGAUGGCGACUGCUCCUUGACCACAAGCCCCCACAGUCCAAGAGAACAACUCAUGACUGGGUUGCUCAAUCCCUGAGUUGCUUGGAGGAGAUUUUUGAGAAUUUCUGUAUGUCAUUAGAGGCUUCCAGCUCAAGAAGGUGACCGGAGGAGUGAGAGCCAGGAGGAGAAAGGGCCCACCUUGAGCAAUCAACCUUCACCAGCACGUGUUCCUGCUACCACUAGCCCACCUGGGCCAACGACCACCUGGACUGAGAAUCUAGUUCAUCGUCCACACAGACAGAAGACUGACCAUACUCAGCGGCCUUACAACACCUGGGUCUUCUGUUAUUCCCCUAUGGGGAAGGACUUGGACUUUGAGAGCCCCUUGGUCCGUGGUUUACUGAUGCUGGCUGGGAUAACAGCCUGGGGCUGGGGGGCACCCUAACUCCAAUGUGGCUAACUAAACAAGUCUACCACAGUGAGCUUAACAUGCCAAGGAAUUGACUAAACUUCCCUUUCAUUACCUGGACAACCUACCAGCUCUUACUGUGGGGUCUACCCUGGCGGAGUGGACACCAAUCCGACCCUCUAAUUUCGUAGUGACAUGCUAGACCUAGCUAGUUUUCUUAACUUUUGUCUAAAUAUUUCAAGACCAUCAUAUUAGCUUCAGCCUAAUACAACAAAAUGCAUCUGUGACAGUGCGAGCAGAUCCAGUGACUAGUAUGCUAUGUUUUACACGUGCCUACUUAUGCCUUGCUAACCAAGUACCUAGCUGUUGUUUAUUAAGUGGAUUAAGUGGACACCUCUAUUUAGCUUGUUAUCCCAUAAGGAAAAAUGUGCAGCUUUCCACAAAUGCCUCGUUAUUACUCUUGUUCAUAUGCUUAUACAUGCUGUUGUUGCAUCAUAUGCAUUUUUGUUGAUCCUUCACACAACAAAAAUAAAGAAUUGUAUAAAAAAAAAAAUAUAUAUAUAUAUUUAUUUCAAAUAGUGAUCAAAUCUGAGAGUGCUGAUCACUAUUUGAAUUUUCCUGGAUUACAAGCACCCGGUUACUAAAUCAUCCAAGCGUGAGUGCAAGGACUUUUCUAUUUUUGAUAUAUACAUACACAAAUACACACACUAGAGAAGACUUGCUUUUUACCACAGAAAUCUUACUUUAACAGUGCUCUCACUGCUGCAUACAACCCAAACCCGUAAGACUUGUUUUUUUUUUUUUUGUGUAUUUGUGUUUAACAUUGCAUCAAAGGACCACUAUAGGCACCAACGAAGUGGUCUGGGUGCCAGGUCCAUCUAGGGGUAACCCUGCAGCUGUAAACAUAGCAGUUUCAGAGAGAACUUGCCGCGCAUGCGGUGGAUGACGUCGGAAGAGGGAGGAGAGUCCCUAGCACCGAGGGAGCCCGGCGCUGGAGAAAGGUAAGCGUUUAACCCCUUCCUCCCCCCUUCAGCCUGGCGGGAGUGGAGCCCAGAGGGUGGGGGGGGGGACCCAAAGACCCUAUAGAGCCAGGAAAACAAGUUUGUUUUCCUGGCACUAUAGUGGUCCUUUAACUAUCCACUUAUUUCAGGUGGAAGGGGUUUUCAGCCACACUUUAAACCCUGCAAUGCUGGGACAGAAUUAUGCUCACAUUGCAUAGCAUAGUUUUACGUUAUUGAUGUCCUGAUGCAAAUUAGCCCAGACAUGAAGAUAAAUAUUUUUGGGAAUACCAUGUACUUGUAAAUAAUUGGAAUGAAACUUCACAGACUACCACUUCGACAGCCUAUAUAACUACUUAAACCACGCACUCAUGGGACUUUGUCUGGGUUCAGUAGUGGUUGGUCGAUAAAUUAGGGAUUGACAAAUUUUGUUUGAAAUCUAGGAGCCAGCUAAUAAAGUUAGGAGCCAGGUUUUAAUUUUUUUUUAACUAAUUUUCAACGAGAAACAUUCUUAAAGGAACACUAUAGUCACCAGAAGUACUACAGCUUAAUGUAGCUGUUCUGUUGUCUAUAGCCUGUCCCUGCAGGCUAUUCAAUGUAAACACUGCCUUUUCAGCCAAAAGGCAGUGUUUACAUUUCUGCUUGGUAAAACCUCUAGUGACAGUCACUAGAGUCCUGGGUCACUGCUACACAGUGCAGCAUCCACAUUCAGCGUUUCCAAGAUCUGCAUGGAGGUGCUGAAUGUUCCCCUUAGAGAUUCUAAGGAAAAGCACCGGUGUUUUGCUGCGCAUGCGCACUAUCCUUCCAAUGCUUUCUUAUUGGAAAGCAUUGGCUUAGCUGAGAUCAAAAAGAUGAAUAGUCUCUGCCAUGAAGGCAAGACCAGCCGCAGCGAAACUGGCAUGGCAUGGGAAAAAAGGUGAGUAAAAACACCUUUCUCAUGUGAAUGGGGGGGCAGGUACCUAAACAGAUGCAUACAUACAUACACAUGCGCACACAGCCUCUGACGUGUUGACACACACAUUUUCUCAAACACUCACAAACUGACGUUAUUUUUUGUUUGUUUUUAUUAUUUAAAUCCACCCAGUCUCCCUAACUUUGGGCCUCAGCCCAAUGCUCCCGCAGCAAAUCCCAGGCGCCGGGGGAAAUUUCUAGUCGCCAUGGUGACCUGGCGCCUGGGAUUUUUUGAGUCCUGCUAUAAAUCAGUGCUAGUUCUCAUAAUGGCAAUAAUUUUAUCAUUGGAUGCUGAGAGAUAAUUAAUGUAUUUAAGGUACUUCAUUAACCUUUUCUUUGAAAGUUUGAAUAUUAAUACAUUACAAAAGAAACUUGGUGCACAUGUCCCCCCCGUCCCCACCUUUCCAAGCUAACACCUUUCUUCAUGGCUGUAAACAAGUUCUGUAAGUCCCUGAUAUGUCUUUCAGGAGGUAUGUAAGUAAUGUUAUUGUUUAACAUAAAAAAACCCUCUUUAAUACAUAAUUCUGUUCUGUGUAAUAUUUGACCUAUAUCACUAACUGCUUUUUAUGACCAAGGACUUCUUAUUUGCUUUCCUAGGCAAAAUGCAAGGUCCAACAAACUAUCAGCCAAUACCAGGUGGAUAUGUGGUCCCAUCAGCCCCUCCUUCAUAUGAAGAGGCAACAUAUGGUCAUCAGCCGUAUCCUCCACAACCAUAUCCUGCACAACCAUAUCCUCCACAACCAUAUCCACCACAACCGCCACCUCCUCAACCAGGGAUGGAUGCCAAGCAUAUGAACAGUGCUCCAUAUAUUGUUCAGCCAGUGCCAAUGCAACCCCCACCUGGUAAAUUCUUGAUUUAUUGCAAUUUCUUUUGAGAACUGUAUCUAACUUUCUAUUACGUUUGUAUAUUGGAAUGAUUGGGCACCCGCAUUUUAAAAAAAC
RNAcentral lists this long non-coding RNA (18847 nucleotides) under Pelobates cultripes (western spadefoot toad). Lineage: Eukaryota; Metazoa; Chordata; Amphibia; Anura; Pelobatidae. The record is from RNAcentral.